RNAcentral lists this long non-coding RNA (1338 nucleotides) under Solanum tuberosum (potato). Its description in RNAcentral is "long non-coding RNA (STUB_LNC007239)". The record is from RNAcentral. Lineage: Eukaryota; Viridiplantae; Streptophyta; Magnoliopsida; Solanales; Solanaceae.
GGAGAUUCAGCAAGAAGGAUGGAAGAAUCUGAGCUCUAUUUUAGAAUCUCCCGCAGAGAAGAAGCCCAGGGACGGAAAUAGGCUCCUAAAGAACGCACUGUCAUUGUCUUUCCCAGAUUGUUCUACUCAACUUGUUGUUUUGCCUUUCUGGUUAGUUGUUCCUUCAAAUUAUUGGAGUCUAAGUUGUUUUGGUGGUAAAUAUUGUAGAUUAUGAAAAUUGAUAUUUUUGACUCAGAUAACACUUUCAAAUAUCUUUUAACUUUUGGAGCCUGAGUUGUUUCAGAAUGGUUUAGUCUUUUGAGUUGUUUCAGAAUGGUUUAGUCUUUUGAGGUGCAUGUUGAAUUUUUAGUCGAAUAUCUUGAUGGAUCAAUAGCUAAUCGUUGAAAUUCAACAUAAUUCUGAUUGGGGAAAAAAUGAAUAGUAUCAUAGUUUUUCCAAAAUUAAUGAACUGUUUGAAAUUCAACAUAAUUCUGAUUGGGGAAAAAAGAAUAGUAUCAUAGUUUUUCCAAAAUUAAUGAACUGUUUGGAGGCGAUUCUUUUCGCUGGAAUUCAAAUGGACUAUUUUCAUAUAUUUUUAUCUGAUAUCAUCAAAGUUCAGAAAUACUUUUGAGGAAGAUGGUUGGUAAGAAAGGGAUGUACUAAGAUCAGAUAAGUUCACUAUCAGCAAACUCUUCAGCUAAAAAGAGCUUACCAGAAGGUUGAUUGGGCAAGGCUGAUUUGCAACAAAUAGGCCCUCCUAAAUGGUCAACUUAUCUUAUAUCUCACUGUUUGUAGCAGGUUGUUUACAAAGGAAAGGUUAGCCAAAUGAUGGCGUUUGGAGGAGGAGAAGUGUGCACUAUGCAGCAAAGAUAAUGAGUAUGUUGCACAUCUCUUCUUUAUGUCCCCUUAUUUAGCACAAGUCUGGAAUACCAUCUAAUAUAGCUGCAGAUUCAUAGACAAGCUCAAGGAUGGAUCUGGGAUGAAUUAGGCAAUUAUAAACUUCAAAGAUCGAAGUUUACAUGCUGAAGUUUUUAGAAUGACAUUAGUUGCGGGAGUUAAUAUUGAGAAAAAGGAAUUAGAGGAUCUUCCAAACAGAGAACAGAACAGAAGGCUUCAAGUCCUCAUUAUGUUGUUAAUUCAAGAUCCUCAUACUAGAGGAGUUAGUGAAAGCAACAUUAUUUAGAAUGUUAUUGGUUAUUUGGUCAUAUUUCAUUGUUAAAUUUGAAAAAAAAAUAAAAAAAUUUGAUUUCAAAGUGAAAAAUGAUAUAUGAAAAUUGGAAUUGUGUUUGAUCAUGAAUAUAAAUUGGAGUUUAUUCAUAAAUUAAAGUUAUUUUUGACUUUUUGUGAGUAAUUGGAGCG